GAAAAGCCUCUAGCGAGCGCAUACACGGCCCGUACCCCAAACCGACACAGGUGGUCAGGUAGAGAAUACCGAGGCGUACGAGUGAACUGUGGUUAAGGAACUCGGCAAAAUGCCCCCGUAACUUCGGGAGAAGGGGGACCCACGUACCGUGAACGUCCUUGCGGCGGGAGCGGGGGNGGGUGGCACAGACCAGCGAGAAGCGACUGUUUACUAAAAACACAGGUCCGUGCGAAGUCGCAAGACGAUGUAUACGGACUGACGCCUGCCCGGUGCUGGAAGGUUAAGAGGACCCGUUAACCCUUCGGGGUGAAGCGGAGAAUUUAAGCCCCAGUAAACGGCGGUGGUAACUAUAACCAUCCUAAGGUAGCGAAAUUCCUUGUCGGGUAAGUUCCGACCUGCACGAAUGGCGUAACGACUUCUCGACUGUCUCAACCACAGACUCGGCGAAAUUGCACUACGAGUAAAGAUGCUCGUUACGCGCGGCAGGACGAAAAGACCCCGGGACCUUUACUACAACUUGGUAUUGGUGCUCGAUGCGGUUUGUGUAGGAUAGGUGGGAGACUGUGAAGCCUGGACGCCAGUUCGGGUGGAGUCGUCGUUGAAAUACCACUCUGAUCGUAUUGGGCAUCUAACCUCGAACCCUGAAUCGGGUUCAGGGACAGUGCCUGGCGGGUAGUUUAACUGGGGCGGUUGCCUCCUAAAAGGUAACGGAGGCGCCCAAAGGUUCCCUCAACCUGGACGGCAAUCAGGUGUUGAGUGUAAGUGCACAAGGGAGCUUGACUGCGAGACGGACGUGUCAAGCAGGGACGAAAGUCGGGACUAGUGAUCCGGCACCCCCGAGUGGAAGGGGUGUCGCUCAACGGAUAAAAGGUACCCCGGGGAUAACAGGCUGAUCUUCCCCAAGAGUCCAUAUCGACGGGAUGGUUUGGCACCUCGAUGUCGGCUCGUCGCAUCCUGGGGCUGGAGCAGGUCCCAAGGGUUGGGCUGUUCGCCCAUUAAAGCGGCACGCGAGCUGGGUUUAGAACGUCGUGAGACAGUUCGGUCUCUAUCCGCCGCGCGCGUCAGAAGCUUGAGGAAACCUGUCCCUAGUACGAGAGGACCGGGACGGACGAACCUCUGGUACACCAGUUGUCCCGCCAGGGGCACCGCUGGAUAGCCACGUUCGGACAGGAUAACCGCUGAAAGCAUCUAAGCGGGAAACCCCUUCCAAGACCAGGCUUCUCACCCUCCAGGAGGGAUAAGGCCCCCCGCAGAACACGGGAUUGAUAGGCCAGACCUGCACGCACAGCAAUGUGUUGAGGGAACUGGCACUAACCGGCCGAAAACUUACACA
This 1333-nucleotide ribosomal RNA is filed under the name Mycolicibacterium hassiacum DSM 44199. RNAcentral's name for it is "bacterial LSU rRNA". It matches the Rfam family "Bacterial large subunit ribosomal RNA", at positions 1612 to 2925 of the family's 2925-position model. The record is from RNAcentral. Lineage: Bacteria; Bacillati; Actinomycetota; Actinomycetes; Mycobacteriales; Mycobacteriaceae.